GACGAACGCUGGCGGCGUGCUUAACACAUGCAAGUCGAACGGGAAGAGAUGAAGAGCUUGCUCUUUAUCGAAUCCAGUGGCAAACGGGUGAGUAACACGUAAACAACCUGCCUUCAGGAUGGGGAUAACAGACGGAAACGACUGCUACUACCGACUACGUUCCACGGGCCGCAUGACCUGUGGAAGAAAGGGUAGCAUCUACCUGUAAGUUAUCGCCUGAAGAGGGGUUUGCGUCUGAUUAGGCAGUUGGUGGGGUAACGUCCUACCAAACCAACGAUCAGUAGCAGCUCUGCGAGGAUGAUAGGCCACACUGGAGCUGAGACACGGUCCAGACUCCUACGGGAGUCAGCAGUGGGGAAUCUUCAGCAAUGGACGCAAGUCUGACGAAGCAACGCCGCGUGAGUGAAGACGGCCUUCAGGUUGUAAAGCUCUGUGAUCCGGGACGAAAGAGCCUGAGGUGAAUAGCCUAAGGAAGUGACGGUACCGGAAAAGCAAGCCACGGCUAACUACGUG
Molecule: ribosomal RNA, 513 nt
Filed under: uncultured bacterium
Lineage: Bacteria
Description: partial 16S ribosomal RNA
Rfam family: Bacterial small subunit ribosomal RNA
Source: RNAcentral